Molecule: long non-coding RNA, 2921 nt
Filed under: Homalodisca vitripennis (glassy-winged sharpshooter)
Lineage: Eukaryota; Metazoa; Arthropoda; Insecta; Hemiptera; Cicadellidae
Description: uncharacterized LOC124354797, transcript variant X2
Source: RNAcentral
AUAGUGGAACAUGGAAGAUGUUCAACUGAUGUACAAAUUAAUGGGUAGUUAAAUUAGGAAUUGAAUUCUAGAAUUAGUUAGGAGUAAAACAUUCCCAUUAUGUAUGUAAUUGGGAAAUGUUUUAUAGAUAAAAAGAAACAACAAACUGAUUCAAAAAUAAAAUAACGUGACAUCUGAGUUUCAUUGGAAAGAUCUGACAGUAUGACCAUAUCGUAUCUGAAAUGGCCUGUACUAGGCAGUCUGCUGCUCUCCCUGGUGUUGUUGGUGAUGAGGACAACUCAUAUCAUGGAUAGUGAUCUACCUGCCUCACAUACUGAUCCAUAUGAUGAGGACAGAUCUACGGAUAUAUCGGAUAGUCGCCGCAGUAACUGGGGUAGUGACAGUCGAGAUGUUGACAGCAGUGAAAUUCUCACUGUAGAUAGAGUCUUUCCACUAACCAGAACAUUAAACCAAGUCUUUGAAUACAUUUGUAGAAGAUUUUCACUUUACAUGCGACUUGAGAAUAAAAAAAUACUUUAUCUGAAGAACAACUCGUUGAAUUUUAAUCUCACUACAGGAAAUAGUGGUAAAAGAUUUUUUGCUACAAAUCCUGUGAUUUCAAGAAUGGAUUCAAUGAGAAGACUUGGAAAUGCAUUUGUUUCUAUAAACACAGAUACCGCAAUAGUUUUAGUGCAAAAGUUGAGAUUUAAAAUACUCAAAUUUAAGUACGAUUAUUAUGACAGUGACUUAAACUUGUUUGGUCAUUCAUCUUUUAUUCUGCUCAAGAAUACUUUCUUGCUAAAUGUGACACUCUCUACUAAUUAUGACAAUAGUGAAUGUAAACUGGACACCGUUGACUUGGUCUUUAUUCCUAAUGAAAGAUCAUCAUGUAUUCUAAAAUGUGUGGGACCAAUUGAGGCAAUUGGUGUGUAUGACACCUUGAAGUCUAAAUUGUACAAUACAUUUUUGACGGAAAUUCUGAAAGAGAUAAAGAGUGAAAUUAUGCCAAUCUUGGUGAAAGUGGUGAAUCAAUCUAACAUCUGCUGUUAUUUUAAUGGUAAACACAAGAAAUCUAAUGCAAUUUUUGAUUUCUUAAGUGGUAGUAUAUUUGAUGGGUGAAAACUGAAAAAAGUACAUGAAGCAGUGUGAUGUUGAUAACCUGGUUGUGUUUAAAAGUCUUUAAAAUGAAAACUGAAAUUUUGAAGCAAUCUUCUCAAGACCCAUUUGUAAAGAAAAUGAUGUUAUGACGUGAUGCAUCAAGUGGUCUUACCCACCACCACCAAACACUACCAAUGAUCUAAUCAUAUGAACAAUCUGCUUAACAUCAAUCUAUUAAGGAUGUUUACUAUUUAUUUGUAGUGGUUUAAAUCAUGCAAUGAUAUUUAAAUUUCAAUGCAUUUGACAUCUGCGAUGAUCCACCUUUUGAAAACAAAGGAAGCCAAAUUAACAUGAAAUAAAUGUAUAAGCAGAUCUGAUUUAACCCUCCAGAGACCAGGAGCAAAGUGUAUUCUGUAAAAUCUAUACAUUGAAACUUUUACUGACGCUACCCCUGAUUCUAAAAGGAUUAAUUAAGCUUUUUAAAUUUUAGAAAACAAAAAUGCUAACUAUUUUAGUUAAAACAUUUAUUGUGAAUCUUGGAUUUGACAUUAACAUUUAUCAUAGAUCUUGGAUUUGAUAUCAUCAGUGCGACAGAGUAUUGUCUGAGCGAUCAUCACCAUAAGCGAUAUAUUUUGUGUAAUUAAAUAUAAUGCACAAUGUUUUCUUAACAUUACUUCAAACCUCUAUUUACUAUUCAUUUUUAUAGAUUCCAGUUGGACAAACACAGAUUCAAAAAGUUUGUUUUUCCAACUUUCUGUUUAACAUCAUAAAGAAAAAAUUAUGGGUUCGUAUGUUACGUUAUUAAUAGAAUGGUCAAUUUUGUAACAUAUUUUGAACCGCCACAACUGAAUGGUGAAUAUCUUUAACAGAUUGCUUUAACAGUAGAAAUUUGUAUUCUUAAUUUUGUCUAUUAGAACAGUAUCACAAUGAAGUAAAGGUUUUUAACAUCAAUUGCACACAGUUGUUACAGCAGUAGGGGCACCACAUUAUGUAUAAACUAAAAUAUUUCCUUAUUUACCAUUAUAGAUUUUAAUAGAGUUUGCCAAGUGAAGAAAAGUUAGAUUACCAAUAACAAAAACAUCCCGUACAAUCAGUAAUUUUAUUAAAAUGAAUAUUUUACUUCUCUAUAAACCCUAUUUUGUUGGGUUUUCUUGGUGCUUUCAACUUACAAAAUGUGCUAUGUAACACCUUCACUGUGACAUGGGUUAUGUACUGACUUUAGGUCAGUUGGGAUAGUCGAGAGGUGCGUCCAACACAGUCCAAUGUGUUAAACUUAUAAAAAUCUGUAUCUGUUCAUAUGAGUAACAAUUUACAACAAAUUAAGAUGUAUUUAUAAAACAAACAAAAAUAUUUAGCUAACUAUUUUGAGUUUUUUUAUGGCUAUGAAACAUCAAAAUAGAUCUAAAGCUUUUUUAUAAACAUGGCUAGGGGGCAAUUGACCAUGGAUAGGGGGGUUUUCAUUGCUUCCUUCCUUGCAGUCAUAACACUGAGACUAUCAUACAAUAUAAAAUCUAUUUUUAAGUGCAUUGGGUGUUUUAUGGGUAUUGUGAGGAAUCUCUGACAUAAGAGCCAUGAUUAUUUCCUAUAAUUGUGAAAGCAAUUUGUUCGAUUCAUUUGUUUAAAAUUUUUAUGAAUAAAAGGACAACCAUCUGUGAUUGAAGGAAUUCUUAUCACUCCAAAUCACUGUCCUUACUAUUCAGUUCACUUCUAACCAAUCAGAAAGAUUUAUACUGAUCCCUUUACAGGUUAUAGUUAAAAUAUCAAGCACCAAGUUGAUUCCUAUGACACAUAUUUGGAGAUUUCACAAUCAAAAUUUCAACCACCAGAUAAUUCAAAUUGGAAUA